This is a long non-coding RNA of Meriones unguiculatus (Mongolian gerbil), 1079 nucleotides long. RefSeq lists it as uncharacterized. The record is from RefSeq and is a predicted model, not a curated record. NCBI's taxonomy places the organism in Eukaryota, Metazoa, Chordata, Mammalia, Rodentia, Muridae. The transcript is spliced from 4 exons.
GGGCACUCUUUUUUCCUCCUGGCAUGCCCUUGCUGUGGUGAAGAAACUGUUCUCCCAUUAAUGUUACUACUUGUCACUCACUUCCCUCUCCCAUUUCUUACAAUGUCCAGUAAGCCUGAAAGCAAUGAAUACAAAUGAUACAGAAGUUAAUGCCAACUAAUUAAAGACUUGCAAAUAAGAAAAUAUUCAAAGGAAGACUUAAAACACAGAACAAAAAAGCUCAGAUAAGUCAUUGGAAAGCUGAGCCUGAGAAGGCUGGACUAAAGCAGGCCCGACUGACAGUUCUGGUUACAUGGUUCGCCUAAUCUGGGAAUCAAAAUCUUUAAUUAUAAGUCAUCCAUUUCAGAGGAUUACCUUUAAGUCUACCCAAAGCUGAAUGAACACACACAAACUAUCUUGUAAAAAUGAGUAAAUCAAUCCUGGGACAUCCUGCAAAAUAUGAAUUUAGUCAUAAACCCAUAGCAUAUGGUAUAAAUUUCACAGAAGGGGUCGAUGGAAUUUUAAAACUUCUUGAAAACUGCACCCUCAGUGUUGACUAAGAAGGUGUCUGUGUCUGGUCUUCCUGAAGUAGGCCUUUCGAGAUUGCCCAUACUGUCUUCUUGAAUUGUUUCCACCACUCUCAGUUGCUCAGCCUCAUCACUAUUGAGUACUGGGAGAGAGAAUUCUUUGCUGUGGGGCUAUCUAAUGCCUCUGUAAAAACUUUAGUAGAGCCCUAUAACUCCUAGCUGGUCUUAUCAAAAGCCUGGAACAUGUGCCACUUCCUCUAUCGAGCUGUGGUAAUGAUAAAUACCUUUCCCAGGUCAAGAAAUAGUGAUUCCAGAUUUUCAUCCAGAGAUCACUCAAAUAGAAUAAAAUAUGAUGCUAAUAAGAAAGAUUAUUGUCAAAUUAAUAAACAUUAUGUGACCCAAUGAUGCAUACACCAGAGUCUCAAUUUUGUAUCAUCAUUGUUGUAUAGUGGCUGAGUGUCAUAUGCCACAGACUUUGACUUACUGGACAUUGAAAAAGUUAUGCCAGUUUUCUCAUUUAUAAAAUUGAUGUGUGUCUUGGGGGGGGAGGAGGAGAGAGAAAGAGAUACUAUU